This 548-nucleotide ribosomal RNA is filed under the name uncultured bacterium. RNAcentral describes it as "bacterial SSU rRNA". It matches the Rfam family "Bacterial small subunit ribosomal RNA", at positions 365 to 908 of the family's 1533-position model. The record is from RNAcentral.
UCGGCAAUGGACGCAAGUCUGACCGAGCGACGCCGCGUGCGGGAUGAAGGCCUUCGGGUUGUAAACCGCUGUCGUAGGGAAUCAAGUGUACGAGGGUACUCCCUUGUAUUUGAGAGAUCCUAGGAGGAAGGGGAGGCUAAGCUCGUGCCAGCAGCCGCGGUAAGACGAGCUCCCCAAACGUUAUUCGGUAUUACUGGGCUUAAAGAGUUCGUAGGCGGCUCUGUAGGUGAGAUGUGAAAGCCCUCGGCUUAACCGAGGAACGGCGUUUCAAACCACAGGGCUUGAGGGAGAUAGGGGUAAGCGGAACAGAUGGUGGAGCGGUGAAAUGCAUUGAUAUCAUCUGGAACACCGGUGGCGAAGGCGGCUUACUGGGUCUUUUCUGACGCUGAGGAACGAAAGCUAGGGUAGCGAACGGGAUUAGAUACCCCGGUAGUCCUAGCCGUAAACGAUGAGCACUAGUCUGAGGGACUCUCACAGUUUCUCGGACGUAGCGAAAGUGUUAAGUGCUCCGCCUGGGGAGUAUGGUCGCAAGGCUGAAACUCAAAGGA